This 2341-nucleotide small RNA is filed under the name Pongo abelii (Sumatran orangutan). Its description in RNAcentral is "processed transcript". The record is from RNAcentral. Lineage: Eukaryota; Metazoa; Chordata; Mammalia; Primates; Hominidae.
AUUUUAUCAGUAAGGAAACUGAGGUCCAGAAAGGGGACACAUCUCAGCCCAAGUCCCACAGCUCUGUACUAGCAAGACCUAGAUUAAAAUGAACAUUUGUAGGGAUAGAAUUUUGUCCUUGUUUGUAGGUGAACUGGCUGCAAUGUAGACCAAGGAGCUCCCUGAGUGGGCCGGGGCACUGUUGGUCUUUCCUCACUUGGUGGCUGCCCUGCCUUCUUUAGCCCAGUAGUUACCACAGCUCCAAAGACCCCAGGAAGUCAGCAGCCAUGAGCCCCUCCCCACAGACCAGUAAGGGAAUACCGUCCAAAGGUGCAGGGCACUUCCAUCCAUCUUUCCAUGCAGGGCCACCCCCCUCUACUUUACCCCGGAGGCUCAGAUGAGCCCUCCCCAUCAUUCCACUAGGAUCCGCAUCAUCCCGCUAGGAUCUCCAUCAUCCCGCUAGGAUCUCCAUCAUCCCGCUAGGAUCGCCAUCAUCCCGCUAGGAUCCGCAUCAUCCCGCUAGUAUCCCGUCAUCCCGCUAGUAUCCCGUCAUCCCGCUAGGAUCCCCAUCAUCCUGCUAGGAUCUGGCUUGUAUUGCCCCCAGGCUCUCUGGCAGCCAUCACUGCUUCCCUGGUUUCCCCAGGUCUCAGGCCAUCUGCGUGGGAUCACUUUAUACCUCCCAUGCUUUUUCUCUGGGCUGCAGACAGUCAGCAGGUCUCAGUAAGGACUCACUACUACAAUGGAAGAUCUUGUGUGGUUGGCAUUGGGCUGGCCGAGGCAGCCCAGGACCCGGCCUCCCACUCUCUCUCCCUAUUGCUUUCAGGUCUCCAUUUGUCCACAUCUGAGAAAAUCUUCCGUUUCCAGGACACAGGGCUGCUCCUGCGGGUACUUGGGAGCCUCUUCCUUGGCGGGAUUCUCGCCUUUGGUUUGGGCUUCUCUGAGUUCCUCCUGGUCUCCAGAACCUCCAGCCUCACUCUCUCCAUUGCUGGCAUUUUUAAGGAAGUCUGCACUUUGCUGUUGGCAGCUCAUCUGCUGGGCGAUCAGAUCAGCCUCCUGAACUGGCUGGGCUUCGCCCUCUGCCUCUCGGGAAUAUCCCUCCAUGUUGCCCUCAAAGCCCUGCAUUCCAGAGGUAACCCGGAGUCCCUUCCAGAAGCCUCUGUUUUCUGUUCUUCUCCCUGUGACUCUUAGUGAUUCUGAUGCAGGAAGUGUGCCCGGUGGCUCUGCUGCCGUCACUCUUCUAGGAAGAUGUGGGGGUCAUCUCCAGAGUGGGUGGGUGGGGCCUGGGUGACUCAGCACACAUGCAAAUCAGAGCAAACCAAGAACACCACAACUGGGCCUGUAACUGUGAUCUCUCUCUAUCCCAAGGUGAUGGUGGCCCCAAGGCCUUGAAGGGGCUGGGCUCCAGCCCCGACCUGGAGCUGCUGCUCCGGAGCAGCCAGCGGGAGGAAGGUGACAAUGAGGAGGAGGAGUACUUUGUGGCCCAGGGGCAGCAGUGACCGACCAGGGCAAAUGGCUUAGAAGCAGGCCACUCCCCAGCCUGCUGCCAGCACUCACUGUGCUCAAGCCCCCGGGGCUCUUCAUGGUAGCUGGGAGCUGUGGACGGGAGUCACCAGGUGGUGGGGCCAAGCCAGGGACUCGUGACUCUUGCCCCUCCCUUCACAGCCUGGUCACACAAGGGGCGAGCACCAGGCCAGCCUGGGACUGGCCAGAGCUGGGCCCAAGCUGCGCUGGAAUCGCAGCAGGAGAGGGGAGUGGGCUGCUUCUUCCCAACCACUUCCCAGGCUCUGACAGCCGAGACUCAUUUCCAAGGCACAGCAGCUUUCUAAGGGGACUGGGUUUGGACUGGGUUUUGGACCUCGAGAGGCUGGAGCCUCAUCACCUGGGCAGUGUCUUUUCUCAGAGAGCAGGUUUCUUUAUAGUUUGGAAAUAAAUGGUUCACGGUCCACUGGCUGCCUUGUGUUGCUGGAGACGUGGGGGCAGGGUGGGGACAGUGUGGGCCUGGCCUCUCCUUUCCUUUCCCUGCCUGGGGCCUUCUUCAAAUGUCUGGGCUUAAGCCAGGCCUCCUUCGUUUUCUCGCUCCUGUUAGAACACCAGUGCCCUCCCCAUGGGGCCCCACUGCACCUGCUGGCAGGAAAUAAAUGAAUGUUUACUGAGUACAGCAUUCUGGAGACCUUACAUGUUUUCACAGCCUAGUUUGAAUCCUGGCUCUGUCACUAGCUGUGUGACCCUAAGCAAAUGACCUAACCUGUCUGUGCCGUAGUUUUUUAAUCUGUGAAAUGGGGAUAAUAUCUAUCUCAGAGUCCUUUUGAAGAUUGAGUCAUUAUUAGUAACAGAUUAAAUGUUAUAUAAGCAUUUCUUUUAA